AGGAUGAACGCUGGCGGCGUGCCUAAGACAUGCAAGUCGAGUGGGUUUAGACCCACGGCGAACGGGUGAGUAAUACCUAGGAACUUUUCUCAAGUUGAGGAUAUCCUCCCGAAAGGGAGUGCAAUACUCAAUGUGGCAGCAAUGCUAAAGUCGCAAGACGCUUGAGGUGAGGCCUGGGCACCAUCAGCUAGUUGGUAAGGUAAUGGCUUACCAAGGCUUUGACGGUUAGCGGAUCUGAGAGGAUGACCCGCCACACUGGGACUGCGACACGGCCCAGACUCCUACGGGAGGCAGCAGUUUGGAAUUUGGUCAAUGGGGGAAACCCUGAACCAGCGACGCCGCGUGGACGAAGAAGGUUUUCGGAUUGUAAAGUCCUUUUAGCAGGGAACAAUUUUGAGCGUACCUGCAGAAUAAGAGGUUGCUAACUCUGUGCCAGCAGCCGC
RNAcentral lists this ribosomal RNA (443 nucleotides) under uncultured bacterium. Its description in RNAcentral is "SSU rRNA". It matches the Rfam family "Bacterial small subunit ribosomal RNA", at positions 26 to 518 of the family's 1533-position model. The record is from RNAcentral.